RNAcentral lists this unclassified non-coding RNA (3020 nucleotides) under Leishmania donovani. RNAcentral describes it as "gene:LdHU3.23.1310(CDS-product:SET_domain_contain ing_protein_putative)". The record is from RNAcentral. Lineage: Eukaryota; Euglenozoa; Kinetoplastea; Trypanosomatida; Trypanosomatidae.
GCGCAUAGGGGCACCCCACGUCUGGCAACACCUCCUACCACCGACGCGCAAGGGGCACCGCAGAGGACUGCGUUACCCUGAACUUCGUUGCACGCUGCUGCACGCACACUGCCGCCACUCUGCAGCCGCUUCCCUAAAGCAUGGACAGCUGUGUCAGCCUCACCUACAGCUCAAAAGAGGAGGCGGGCCGGCACGCUGUGGCACGACGUCAUCUCUCUCCCGGCGAGCUCGUGCUCGCUGCGGCGCCGUUUGGGCUCGUCAUGAACCCCAAUUGGUGCCCCAGCGCCCUCCACCUCUCCUCUAAAGCUACCGCGAGGUCGGAUGCGGCAACCAGCGCCUCAAGCGCAGACCCGGGCGGCACGACGGCGAGGAAGGCGGGAGGAGGGCAUGGCUGCGGCAAUCGAGCAAACAGCGCGGCCGCGGUAUCGGCAGCGGGCGAAUCGGCGUCUGCGUCGCACUACACGCAUGCACUGGAGGACGAGGCGGGCGUGCAGGGCGAGGUCUCUCCGACGAGCCUCUCUCGCUGGUACACUACGACGCCGACGUGGUGCUCCGUGUGCUUUCAAGAGAUCCCUGCAGGCCGGUGGCUGUGCAAUCGUGGAAGCCUCGCCGAGCUAGCAAUGGACAUUGCUCAGGAGCAAGAGGAGCUUGACCGAAGUAUCAGGGUCGCCGAGGCACAGGCCCCUGGCUCUGACGAAGUUAACAAAAGCGACGAGGGCGGCGACGACGCGGCCUCCGCAGCUGCAGCAGCGGCGCUCCGCAAGUUGAAGAAGCCAUCCAAGUCUUCUGCGACCCGCAAGAAGGGCGCGGUGGAGCUAAAGCAGCGUUUACAAGAAAAGGCUCUUGCGCUGAGGGAGGAGCUCCUCUUGAGGCGGCGGCUGCAGCGUCGUCGUCGCGUUGAGGAAGGGCUGCCGGUGGUGCGCCGCGAAGGGUGGGAGACGCCGACAUCAUCCUCGUCUUUCGCGGCGGGAGCCGCGUAUGAGGAGCCAGCCAUGUCUGGCUGCACCGGCUGUGGGGUCCUCUGCUUCUGCUCCGAGGUGUGCUGGCGCGCCCAUCGGGACGAGCACGAGCAGAGCGGCGAAUGUGCCUUGCUGCGGUCUCUGUACCCUCGGCUCAUGGCUGCGUACUACACGAUGGGCGUGGCCAGCUCUUCGGCAAGCGCCGGCGGCGCGUCCAGCACUGUUGUGAUGCCGGGGGACGAACCACUGCACUGGGCACGGUCGACAAGCGAGCCACGAAUGCUCGAGUUCCAGUCGCUGCUCUUCAGUGCCAUUGUGGUGGCACGUGUGUGCCGUACCGGGUACCAGGCACGCUGCGCCGCUACAGCUGAAGAUGCCGCUGUGCACUCGGAGGGCGGCGUCGCGGCGCAGGUGGCAGCGCCCUCCGCUGGUGAUGGCGGUUCAGCGUCUGUCGAAGCUAGAUCGCAAACCAACACCUUGGACGAACAGUUGCUGCCGCCUACAAGCCCCAGUGCGUUGCCGGGCCGAGGUGAUCAGUGCAGCCCAGACACGCUGGUGGCAAGCUCCACGUCAAUGGCGGUCGACUCCGUGGUCAUUCCAAAGGAGGUGUGGUCGAUUAACGAGAUUCGCGCCAAGGCGGGCCUGAAAGGCACGGUGGAGGUGCUCGACGCUGACCCUGAGCUGCGACGCAUCGCUCGUGAGGUUUUGGCACCGAGAGACCGCUCAAGCGCUGAAGGGCCGCCGGAUGGCUCCAGCGACUCACCUGCUGCAGACCCGCGUGUCGUCAGAGCGACGACUGCGGCACGGUUGCGCAGCUGCACCAGCAUUAACACCAGCAGGGACGGUGCCGACGACGACCCUCUUCCGAAGCUCCGUGCACGAACCCCGCGAUACGCGGACUUGGCUCAGAUGGAGACAAACUUGUCCGUCAUCGCGAAGCAUCACCGCAGCACAUACCAGCGCUACUACCGUGCCUUCGCGAAGCGGGUGCUGCCGGCGCUUCAGCAGCUCCUGCUUCACCAACAGAGAGGCGUCACCGUCGACGGCAGCGACGGUGACAGCCGUGUGGACACAGCAUCGCGGCCGUUGGCGCAUCUGGAGAAGGGCACUGGCGACGUGCUGCAGGUAUCGGAGGUGUACUUUCAGCGACUGUGCGCCGCUGCGCAGUGCAACAGUUUCGGGGUCUAUGAUACGCAGGACCACUGCAUCGGCUUCGGCAUGUACCCAGAGGCGUCGUACUUUAACCACUCCUGCGUGCCGAACUUGUGCCGCGUCAUGCAUCAUGGCGGCCGCAUCGCCGCUUUCUACGCACUGCGCGCUAUCGCGCCACAGGAGCCGCUGACAAUCUGCUACACAGAUGUGGAGCAGCUGAACAGCGCCGAGCGGCGCCGGAAUCUGCUCGGCACUUACCGCUUCUUCUGCAUGUGUGAGCGAUGCAGCGGAAAGGCGGAGGGGCCGCAGAUAGCGAUUGCCGCAGCAGGCAACCGCGAGAGUGUCAGCGGCCCGCGCUCCGGCUGUGUGGAGGUUUCGCCGGCGGCCUUCGAGAACCCACUGCUGUUGUGUGCCGAGUGCUCGAUCCACGGAUAUCUGCGUCCGCUGCCUCCACCGUUUUUCAGCUCCUCGCCUGUGAAGUCCGACUCUGCCCCCAAAUCGACACCGUCGUGGACCAUGCAGGAAGUGGAGAUGCGGCAGUGCACGGUGUGCCGGUCACGAGUCGUGCGCGAAGCUGUGGCCGCCGCAGCGACACUUCAGUGAAGAGACGAGGAAGCAGGAGAGGCGCCCUGAUUGUGUGCAUGCCGUGGCCCCGUUCGACUGAUUCGCGGCCGUGGCCAUCCUUGAGGGGGGGGGGAGAAGGGGGGAUUUUGCACGUCAUGGCGGCGGCUACGCCAACAAACUCUUGUUUCGUCUUGCUCAGCCACUCUCAGCAUCUCACCUCGCGUUCGCCCCACGUCCUCUCUCAGCCCUCCUCCCCCAGUUUCUUUCCUGCGGUUGUACGCGCUGCUGCAGCACCCCUUCUUCACAUUGUGCAAUGAAGAUUUAAGCCAGUAACAAGGGCUACAC